GACGAACGCUGGCGGCGUGCUUAACACAUGCAAGUCGUACGAUGACCCGGCUCUUCGGAGCUGGUGAUUAGUGGCGAACGGGUGAGUAACACGUGGGUGACCUGCCCUGCACUCUGGGAUAAGCCCGGGAAACUGGGUCUAAUACUGGAUACGACCAGUGGCCGCAUGGUCUGCUGGUGGAAAGCCCUUCGGGGUGGUGUGGGAUGGGCCCGCGGCCUCUCAGCUUGUUGGUGGGGUGAUGGCCUACCAAGGCGACGACGGGUAGCCGGCCUGAGAGGGUGUCCGGCCACACUGGGACUGAGACACGGCCCAGACUCCUACGGGAGGCAGCAGUGGGGAAUCUUGCACAAUGGGCGAAAGCCUGAUGCAGCGACGCCGCGUGAGGGAUGACGGCCUUCGGGUUGUAAACCUCUUUCGGCAGGGAACAAGCCUGGGGGUUUUCUUCUGGGUGAGGGUACCUGCGGAAGAAGCACCGGCUAACUACGUG
Molecule: ribosomal RNA, 487 nt
Filed under: uncultured bacterium
Lineage: Bacteria
Description: partial 16S ribosomal RNA
Rfam family: Bacterial small subunit ribosomal RNA
Source: RNAcentral